AAAACAACUCUCGGCAACGGAUAUCUCGGCUCUUGCAUCGAUGAAGAACGUAGCGAAAUGUGAUACUUGGUGUGAAUUGCAGAAUCCCGUGAACCAUCGAGUCUUUGAACGCAAGUUGCGCCCAAAGCCAUUUGGUUGAGGGCACGCCUGCCUGGGUGUCGUG
Molecule: ribosomal RNA, 163 nt
Filed under: Memecylon rivulare
Lineage: Eukaryota; Viridiplantae; Streptophyta; Magnoliopsida; Myrtales; Melastomataceae
Description: 5.8S ribosomal RNA
Rfam family: 5.8S ribosomal RNA
About the family: 5.8S ribosomal RNA (5.8S rRNA) is a component of the large subunit of the eukaryotic ribosome. It is transcribed by RNA polymerase I as part of the 45S precursor that also contains 18S and 28S rRNA.
Source: RNAcentral